UUGAACAAAAUGUUCUUGGAGAAGCAGCUGUGCAGUGCAAUCCAGUCGGCCACAACUGCGAGCUCUUGGAAGUGGAAUAGCGAGCCAAAUGGAGAGCUGAGCCAAUUCAAAGUGGUUCUGUGCGGUGCAGAAACAUCAUUUGACACGCUGUGAUUGUGACCAUUGCGCUUCACGGCAGAAGUGAGGAUUUGUGGAUACAGAAGGGCAAUUUGUUCCCAAUCCCGAUUCAUCCAAAUUAAUGCUGUACAUAUGUUGGCAGCCAGGCAGGCCUACGCUGAAGGACGGAGUGGCGAUGAAAAAGGCAACCAGAAGCCGCGGCGCUUUUGCGGCAGCUUAGGCUGAUAGCCAAUCGGAUUUGGUCUUGUCCACCUCGUGAAAGCAUCGUGCAAAUGACUUCAUCCAAUGGUCCAAUUGGAUUUGAUUAGUACAAACAACAAAGCUCGCCAUAUACAAAUGCUCUCUGUGGCGUUCACAAGCCCAGAGCUUUAAUAAAACGGGGCUCCACCACAUUUACGUGUUCAGUCACGCAAUGAUCAUCGCUAAUGUUUGAUUAUACUCAAAAGACCAACAAGGCGUGCAGAGUCUGGUAAUCGUCUCCAAACCCAAUGUCUACUAUCAGAGAGCAUGACUCACAAACAUCAGGACGAUUGGAUGAAGAAAAAGAAAAAUGCUAGUCUGAGUCGAUAAUCCUCUGACGCAACAUUUGAAGGAUAAAUCUAUUAUUAUGAACAUUUAUUUUACGAGAUCAUUUGCGAAUGUUUUGAUUCGCGUUAUGCCUCGCUUGUGUAAAAUAGACAUCAAAUAUUGACCGGCUCGUUAUGGAGGAAACUCGUCUUAAGACAUUACUUCUUGAAGUAAAUUCACGAUUCAGGCCUUCAUUCCCAAAGAAUUUUUGUUCUUGCUCAAGAUGAUAGGUAGAUUUUGACUUUCUGCUUUGCCACAUCCGACCAAGACAUUUGACCAAUUGCAUAGUUUGCGAGAACUCUUUUCUGCAGAAAUUGCAAGAGCCCUCAGAUCCAAGACCAGAGACAACAGAUCACAUUCCCCCAGGAUGAUGGAAAAUGAAGACCAAGUCCUGUUAUUAUGUCCAAGGGUCCCAAUAGCUUUCAUCAUGUAGAGUAGGUGUUUUAUAAGAAACCAAUAAAAUGCCUCUUGAAAGCCAAACAAAGAAGCACUUUCAAUUUGUCAAGCCGAGUCAAAUGGGUUUUAUGGAAAGGUGAAUUAGCAAGACCUUUGUGGGAAUUCUUGCCAUAUCCUGUGCCUAUGCCUCCUGAGUGCCUCCAUGCUGUCAACAUAUUUCCCAUCCGCAAUUCUGCCAUCGUUUUCACCGAAGCAAUUAUCCUAGUGCCUACGCUCUGUGGGUCUAUCAGUCUGUGGUCCAUUAAAUGUCACGCCAUGGCUUCUCAUCUUCACUGUCACAAUGUGCGACGAUUCCGCCCACCUGCUUCAUCAUCGGUCCCGCUCAGUCUGCUUGGGUAUUCAAACUCAGCCGACCCAAAAGCACCUGUGAUUCCAGAUGUUCCCGGCAAGUUGAUUCCAAGACUGUCCAAUGACGCUACUUUGGAUUUACUGAUCAGAGGGCUUCCACAUCUCUCUCAAAUCGAGUUCUAAACGUUCCAUCUCACUAACCAUAAUCCCAAACACUAAAACCAACUCCCAACCCUAAAAACAAGUCCUAAUCCUAAAGUGGGAUCUUUUUCAUUCCGUGCAGCCACCACGCAAAAUAAGUUGGACUAAACUGCAGAGAGCAGUUGGCAUGGAGGAACAUGUUGCAUUCAUGUACUCUCCACAGAACGGCAAAAUCGUCUUCAAAAGCACAACAUGCUCUUAACGAUCUGUGCUUGGCAAGGCAACAUUUGUAGAUGUUCUUCCGGGUCUUAGGGGGAUGAUGUCCAAUUCUUUACACUUCCAUGGCUCCAAUUUUUGCUCUCUAAUGGAGGAGGAGAAUAUGUUCCAGUACUAAGUAGCGAAGAAAUAUGGAGCUUCUGUUCGCCCCGUAACAUUUCAUGGCUUUAGAGUCACAUUAAAGUAAAAAAUAUUAAUAGAUGGAGGCUCUUGAUUUAGAAAGCGGUAUGCUCUGAAUAAAUUACAAAAUCCUUUUUCCUCAGGUUUACAUAAUGUCAUAAUUAUGUGAAUGAAAGGGAGUACAAGAGGUUGGUUUGAUUUUCGCUGGACGAAAACAACGACCCAAUUUUAAUCACCAAUCUGGACAUGGUUAAAAGGAUUCCCAAAGUAUCACGCUCAGGCCAAGUUAGUCAUUGAGAAAUUUGUGGAACUAAUUGAAAUGGAUGUUCCAUUUGCGCGAGUGACCCGUGCCGAGUCUUACGUAACGUCCGAGUAGCCGGCGGCGGGGGGUUAAAAGAGGACAAUUGCCAUCUAUCGGCGAUUAUAGCGGGAUCCGGGGAAACUGUCAGCAUUUUAUAAUCCCCUCCUAUGUUCCCUUUAUCUGAGUCACAAGCUUCUCGAUGUGAGAUUACAAACAUCUGGCAGGUCAUCUACUCUCAAGCUGUUCUGGUAAACUAGGUAGCACAGGGAGGGACAAUUUCCUGAUGGAAUAUUCCACGCAAUACAAGUCCGAACGCAUGGCUCGCUAACCCACUGCAAUGCGAUCCACCACUUAAUGGCCCGCUAGCGUGCAGAUGUGAUUAAAAACAUAAUCUGAGAGGUUUGCCUGGGCCGCUACACCGUGCGUGUAUCACUUCUCAGUCACUCGCUCUACAAUUAUUCCCUAAUGUCUAGCGAUGGGCGCUGCUGCUUGACGGCCUUUUUGAACCCAUCCACUGCCACUGACGACUAUAGACGUCAAAGAUCUAUUUGAACUGGGCUGGCAGUGAAUGAGUUAAAACACACACCUGAUGUUUGUUAGUACGUCAUUGCAGGGUUGAUAUGAAUAUAUGAAGCACCACCAAAGUAUUUUCUUUCAUUUGAAUGAGAGACAAUAACGGUCAUUAGAUAUUCAGAUAUCAAGUGCAGCUUUGGGCAAUUAAUCACACGUGAGUGUGAAAUUGGACUAUUUUAAUUGAAUUUCCCAUCUAGAGCCAAUUAAAAGGCACAGCUGCUUCACUGAGCACAUAAGAAGCGUUUUAGAUUUUCACACGAGGAAUUACAAAUUUUUAAAUAAUCGCGCCUGGCAAGACACCGUGCAAAGUUUAGCGUUUGCUCGCGCUUACUGCAGUGCAGAUGCAAGCAGAACUUGCCGAGAAGGCAAAGGGAAGGAAGGGGUGGGAUUAAGCAGUGAAUCACCCAUCCUGGCAUCUAUUGUACACUCAUUUCUUCCCAAUAAUCUUGGCCAAAUCUAACAGCUGGCCGAGCACGGAAGGACGCCGCUUGUUUUGAUGUUAGCGCCGAGCCGAGGCGGUUUAUUGGUCAGGGAUUUAGUGUAUCUGAAUUCAUUGCGGACAGCCUCUGAUCCAGGAGGUUCAAGGGCUGGGGGGGAAACCAAGAUUGAUGGUUGAGGACACAUGCUUGUAUUAGACCCAUUUGACACCGAGCCGUUCUGCGCGGGCAGCAAACGGACCGUAAAGUAGACUGAUCAUGAAACAUGAACACGCUGCAGGUCACUGGGUUUCUGGCCGGCGAAUUCUCUAUCAAGAUCUUUCAGGACGACGUUCCAGGCCUCCAUUUUCCAUUGAAUCAAUUGUAAUGGCAACAACAUCAAGCAAUUCUCUUAACUCACUUCUCAAUUAUCGUUGUUCGUCAUUAACACCGUUCUUGUUUUUUUCGUAUUUUUGGCCCAAUGUUGAAAUCAUUUAUGUACCAAUGAAUGUAAUCUAGCAAAUCCUUCUUGUGUAUUUCACAUAAGAACCCACUUGUUAAAUUACAUUGAUAUGAAUGACAUGACGUCAAUAAAAUGUCAUCUCUGUGA
Molecule: long non-coding RNA, 3865 nt
Organism: Syngnathus acus (greater pipefish)
Lineage: Eukaryota; Metazoa; Chordata; Actinopteri; Syngnathiformes; Syngnathidae
Exons: 3
Source: RefSeq, a predicted model, not a curated record